GCCUAGAUGGCGGAAUUGGUAGACGCGCACGACUCAAACUCGUGUACUUCGGUGUGUGGGUUCGAUUCCCACUCUGGGUA
RNAcentral lists this transfer RNA (80 nucleotides) under Flavobacterium sp. RNAcentral's name for it is "tRNA-Leu". It matches the Rfam family "tRNA". Rfam says of the family: Transfer RNA (tRNA) molecules are approximately 80 nucleotides in length. Their secondary structure includes four short double-helical elements and three loops (D, anti-codon, and T loops). Lineage: Bacteria; Pseudomonadati; Bacteroidota; Flavobacteriia; Flavobacteriales; Flavobacteriaceae. The record is from RNAcentral. RNAcentral also lists the same sequence under 1 other name.